GAUUUGCUUAACAUAUAAUCACUAUUUAAGAUAAAAAAUUCAGUAACUCUGUAUCUUAGGAUCAGAACAUGGAAGGAAGCAUUUAAUUAAAACCAAACGCCUCUUUCUAUCUCCUUUUAUUUUGUUUUAUGUUUUUAUCUUCAGAAAAAAAAGUCAAAAUGUGAUAUGUAUUUUUUAACCACUUCUUACAAGGAUCAUCUUUUACUGACUGAGCAUGACUCUGUGGGUAGCACAUAGAAUUCCCUUUGCGAUUCACAAAUUUGCAGUGUUCUUUAGGAUGAUCACUCUGUCCACAGCUGCUUCAUUGCUGGAUUUAUAUGACAAGCAUGUCUUAUUUCCCCUGCAAUUAAUCAGACAGAAAGAUACCAUUGAUGCCUAGAAAAAUAAAAUUAUUCUUCAUUCUUUGUUACUAAUAUUUUUUCAGUGUCUUCCUAUGAAAAAUGAAAGCAAGGCUUCUCUCGCUCAGGAGUGCAGCUGGUGCCUUUUAUGAGCUAUAACUGGAUUUCACAAAAAAUGUUGUAUCCAGUUGGCUUACAUCAAAACACUCCAAAAUAAGAAUUCUUACGCUCGUUUGGCCCCUGCCUUUGUUCAGAGUGCAGCCACCAUCUGCUUGGAGUGCUAGCAUGUAUGUAAGACGUAAUCCCUCUUAGGAGAAACACUUUCCUAAAAUGAGACUGGGUUUUAGCAAAAUAUAAAUAAAAAGCCAUACAGCUAGUAACAAAAGGAUUCUCUGACUGCUUUGUAAUUUUCCAUCACAUUGAUUUUUCAGCAGAAAAUUCAGGUUUUUACAAGGUAAUGUAUUAUCCAGAGGACGGCUUUCCUUCAACUUUUAUGCUGAGAAAAAUGGUAGGAAUAUUUCAUUCCAGAGGUUUUUUCACUUAAAUCAAACUGUUUUAGUUUUUGAAACUACCCUCCAAGGAAUUUUACUUUGAGUCAACAAUUGUCAUUCAGAGGUGAUAUAGUUUUGAAUGACAGAUGCUCUCCUUUUUUCCUAUGGACUUGUUCACUGGCUGGAUUACGUAUCCAUGAUGCAUUACUGACUGUCUCCUCCACGACUGAGCAUCUUGCGUGUUUUGGAAUUCUAUUUUGGAUAGGGAGAUUAGCCCAGGAGAGCUGUUAGACAAUACAUGCAUUUUAAUGUUGAUCUGAAUGCUCCUGAGAAGUUCAGUAAGCCAGAAUGAAUAUACAACAAGGCACACAAAGGCAAUUUAAAAAGAUUGCCAUGUUUUGCUUCAGUACAAAAAUCCCAAACAAAAUAUCUUAAUCUCCAUUAUCCUUUCUUUCACAUUGUUUUUUGUUCCCAUGUUAUUCUCCUCACCCUUUCCUUAUUAUGUCAACCUCCAAUCUAUCUUGAAAUAAAUCGUCCUCUUUUCAACUGCAUAACACAACAAUCAUUCUUUUUUCCUCCUGGCUGUAAACUCGAACUUUUGAAGAGUCUGAUCUUACCCUUCUAGCCAGAAAGAGGAGGAGAGAUCAAAGAACUCGGUCCAUCACCUUCAGGAGGAUUCAUGCCUGGAGGUCAAAAGAGGACUGUCAGCCAUUAUUGUAGAACUUAGUAUUUGUGGAUGAUUUUGCUCAGAAAUAAAACACAGAUGAGAUGAGAAUGGGACCAAGGAAAGAGUCCUAUGGAGAUCCACAGAGCACAGGGAGGAGAGGGGAGGACGUGAGGAGCAUCUUCUGAAAAGGCUAUAGUGGAACAUUUUGAGAGAGCUCAUUUUCUGAACAGGAAAAUCUGCAUAAUGCAAGCCUGGUAUUCCCCCUUGAAAGAGUGAAUUUGGACUCAUGAUUUUUGCAGUUUGUUGUCAUGCAUUCAUCAAAGUGAGAAGGCCUGAGGACCAGGCAUCUAACUGCAGGUGGCUGAACUUCUUGGAAAGUUCUCAUAAAAGAACUGAACAGUUACUGAGAAUGAAGAUAGGAGACAUAUAAGUACUAUCACUAAUUUAAAGUGUCUGCAUGAUUCUGUGUCAUCUAUAUAGUUUUGGCUAAAGGCACUUCCUCAAGACUUGGUGCUGUUAUUGUUCCAUGUCCUGGGAUGUUUUGAAGAGGACGAUGAUCUUCUAACUGCUUUUGGUUUGAUUUAAAAGCUUGUCCAAGACCUGUUUUAAUUCCAAAGUUGUUGUUUUUUAUGUGUAUAUUUCAAUUUAUCUUCAUGAAGACACAAAAAUCAUGUGAUACUUGAUGAAUCCAUAUGUAAGAACAACAUUUUAAGCAUGAUUCUUUGGAAUAAUUUAUAUUUAGUUCCAUGUGUAAAUCAGGUUCUAGGUUUAAGCUGAAGAUCUAUGUAUUAUAAUUAAGAAAUAUAUUCACAGAAAGAGAGAUAUGAUAAGUAUGAAAGGGAUUCAUUAGCAAAGGAAGUUACCUGGGAAGAUUGCAAGUCAACUGUGGUCUGUUUUAUUCAUUAGAUGGAAUAUCUGGGGUAUGGGGGCCAUCAAAUUUAUUGUAAAAAAACAUAGAAAAUAUUGUUUAAUUCAGAAUUUUUUUGUGUUUUACAGUUUCAGCAUUUCAUUGUAAACUUUGAUGACUGUAAGAAAAUGUCUCAUUUUCUCACUUUGAUUGACGCAAUAGACAGGAACAUGCAGUCAAAAGAAUAAUGUCGAUCCUUUUUCUGAGCAAUCAAAUAGAAAGGAAACAAGCUGUUUGUAUUUUUUGUCUUGAGUAUUGCAACUUAAUUGUCCACUUAGCAUUAUUUACGUGUGUGUAAAGGUAUUGUUCAUUACUGUUAAAAGUCUCAGUACUUGUUCUUCCAAAUCUUGACCUCACAUAAUAAAUACAUCUUUGACUGAACACAUGUGAGAAUUAGGAGAUAGGAGGGCUAGUUGUGUUAAAGGGUAGUAAAUUGACUUCUACUUGCAGGUUUUCAAGGUAAUUGAUUUCCCAUUUUUUGUGUUGGAGAUCUUGGAUCUCGGAUCCCAAUUCAAGAAGCCGCCUUUUUCAAGAAGGCAAAUAAACACAUGCUUGCAUUCAUCCCAAAGCAACAACUUAACAAUAUUUUAUCCCACUGGCUAGAAUAUUGAAAAACUGCAGACAAUAAAUGCUUAUUUUUGUAAAUAGCAAUAUACACUUUGAAUGGAAAGGGCAAAAUGACUUUGAAAUAUUUUUUCCCAAAGUUGUGGGAAACAGAUUAUAUAAAUCUAUUAUGCAUUACAAAAAUAAUUUAUUUUAUUGUUCAAUGU
Dromaius novaehollandiae (emu) is the source of this 3173-nucleotide long non-coding RNA. RefSeq lists it as uncharacterized. The transcript has 5 exons. The record is from RefSeq and is a predicted model, not a curated record. Lineage: Eukaryota; Metazoa; Chordata; Aves; Casuariiformes; Dromaiidae.